RNAcentral lists this ribosomal RNA (229 nucleotides) under Streptococcus agalactiae. RNAcentral describes it as "partial 16S ribosomal RNA". It matches the Rfam family "Bacterial small subunit ribosomal RNA", at positions 1 to 220 of the family's 1533-position model. Lineage: Bacteria; Bacillati; Bacillota; Bacilli; Lactobacillales; Streptococcaceae. The record is from RNAcentral.
UUUAAUGAGAGUUUGAUCCUGGCUCAGGACGAACGCUGGCGGCGUGCCUAAUACAUGCAAGUAGAACGCUGAGGUUUGGUGUUUACACUAGACUGAUGAGUUGCGAACGGGUGAGUAACGCGUAGGUAACCUGCCUCAUAGCGGGGGAUAACUAUUGGAAACGAUAGCUAAUACCGCAUAAGAGUAAUUAACACAUGUUAGUUAUUUAAAAGGAGCAAUUGCUUCACUG